AGUCACAUGCACUUUGCCACACAAUGGCUGGGAAGUGUAUCACCAGACUGCAGUUGAAGGUGCUCCCAGAAACACUUUUUGGAGCAUGUGGUACCCUGAAGAAUUUUUCUCCAACUGUAGUGCUAUAUGGGUGGCUUUGCUUGUGCUCCCAAGCUGUGUGCACAGGUGGGGCUGCUGCUUAGCUGGUGACAGCCAUGCUUGGACAAAGGAUACCUAGAGGAGAAGGAUAGCUCUGUGCCACACAGGUACCCCAGAAAAGAGAGAGACAGAUUCCCUUGGAGAGUGCAAGAUGAGAGUACACUGGGUGAGGUUCAUCAGUCCUGAGUUUCUACAGAUUUUUGUGUGUCUUAACUAGUUUUGUUAUAAACAUGAAAAGAGGAAAAAUAAUCUAGGCUGGAAAAGUUUUGAGUUUUUUGAAAAAUAAGUUUCAAUGGAAAAGGAAGGGUUAAGCAGGGAUGCCAACCAGGGAUGUGUUACAGGGAAAAGUAAAAUUAAUUCAGUAAGGUGCUGCCUUUAUUCUAUCAUGGGGUUCAUCUUACAGCUGUUGUCUUUUCACUCCCUCAUUUUUUCAAAAGCUCCGAUUUCCAUGUGAGAGCCCUGGGAGGGCACCUAAGCAAUUAAUUUCACAUGGUAAAAGCACCUUCCUCUCAAGGUUGUAAAAGCAGAAAUUAGACAUAACACCCUUCUAAGGCAUCUUUCUCAGGCUGGAAGGAAGCAGGUGUGUAGUGUUACAUUAAUUUUAAACCCAUAAUUAGUGUAACUUGAGUCCUGGACCUCAUCCAGUUUAAUUCAUUGUAUUCCUGCAAACAAGACUCCCCUGCUGAUUUUGUGUGAAUGCAGCAGGCCAGAUCUUCAGCUACCUAAGCCUUUCCUUAGGAUGCUUGGGGUGCAGGAAACGAGGUGUCAGGGAGGUACCAUAUGGAUUUCUAUAUAGCCUCUGCAACAGAGGAGUGGCUGACACGGGCUGUGCUCCGGCUGCUUGCUGGCUAUGAAAAGGAUGUUGGUGGCCCACAGGUGACAGCUGUGCUGGUUUGGUUGCCUCUGCUGGAAUGGGAGCUAUAGCUGUUGGCAGGGAGGAGGCAUUGGAAGCACCUUUUAUUUUAUCUAGUUUGGAGAAAUAAGCCACCAGGAUUAGCACUGAAUAAAGCAAGUUGAACUGCUAUAACAAAUGGCAUAAGGGAUUGCUUUCGUUUGCCCUCUUGGAAGCAAACUGAUACCACUGGGAAGUACUUUGUGUUGGCAGGGUACCUGGCCCAAGCCCAGUGUACAAAGGCAGCCAAAAGCUUUCCACAAGGAGAUUUCUGUGGGUUUCUGUGAAGAGCCCAUCUCCCCUUGCCACCAGUCCUCACCAUCCAGUCAGGAGACAGGCCUGAGGUAAAACCACUGCCUUCUUCCUCCUGACAGAGAAAUCCUCCUUCACUCUGGCCCCGACUGAAAGCUGAAAUAUGUGCUUCCCGUGCCGUGGCUUGAGCUCCUCAGGAAAACUUCAGCUACAUCCAAAUUAAUAACUGAACGCAAGCAUCCCAGACUAAGACCGGGCUUACUGUGGGAACGACUGGAUGCUGGCAGAGAGAUUGGCUGCCGCAGGAGGUGAGGACGGCCAAGCUAAACAACCGCCGUCUGGUCCCAUGUCCUCCUCCUCCCUGUGAGCAGCAGCUCUUCCACUGCUCACUAUGAGGCCGGGAUAGGGGUAACCUGGUCAUUGGCCCCACUAGCCAAGGGCUGAGCCCUUUCCACAGCUGGCUCUGCCAGGACUUUGGGAUCUAUGUGCCCCAGAGACGCAGGAUAGAUACCCAGUGCACCUGGCUGCGUGUACUAUAAAUCGCUUUCACUUUCUUGCUCGAGCCGUGGGAAUUUGCAUACAAAAAACCCUAUUAGGCCCCAUCAAAGGAUAUUUAGAUGGCUGGUGUUAAAUAACCAGAAGCAGACAGUUUAGUUCUGAGUAGAACUUGUUUCCCACUUAAAAGCGAAACAGUGUCAUAGGAAGGUUUCCUUAACCUGUUAGUAACAGUUUUACUUCUUUGCUUGCUGAGUCUUCACCACAAUGUUAAAACUGAAUUUUGGAAAUGACAGGACGUUGAGUUUCAGGAAAGGUAAAAUUUCAUGCUACUCUUUUCAGUGUUAAAUAUUUUUUAUAUAAGGUGUUGAGCAUUAUUUAUAGAUGCAUUGUUUCACCAUUACCAAAUAAAAUAAAUUUGGUUUAUGCUAUGAAUAAUAUUAACCAACAAUAAUGGCAACAGAGCUUCAAACAGAAUCACUUCUCUACAACUCCUUAUCCCCUUUGUGAUUCAAGAUAAUGGCUCCAAUGAGGUAAAGACUAGGUCAUAAUUAUUUUCAACUAACUCCUGAUUCACUGAAGCUCAAUCAAGGUUAGAGUCACCCCUUGUUUUAUAUGUUGGGCUGUUUGAACCACGAAUCUGUAACCCUCCCAGUUUAAAUGGGCUAGGAGGUUUCACCGCAGGUGAGAAAAGCACCCAAAUGGAGUGGGCACAGGUACAAAUAUAUUCUUGAUUUGCAUUUCCUCUCUGGCGUGUAUCUGUGCUUUGUGUGCCUUAGUCACAGGGGAAGUUCAGAAGUCCUUGUGUGAAAACUCAGAAGUAUUGGUAUGCAAAUAGAGAAGUGUGACUAAAUAGUCUCUCUGCUCCCACUAUUUCACAUGAAAAAUGCCAGUAUUGACAAUGCAAAUGUGACAUGCUCUGUAUACCCUAUCAAGGCACUUCAACCCCUGACUGUGUAUUUGGGGUAUAUGUAUGCAUCAAAUCUAAAGUAAGAGAAGCACUUUUCCUUAAUUAAACAACAUUUAAAUUGGUUGCUCCUUGGGAUUUCCUACUGAAUUAAUUCUUAUGCUGUAAAAGGGAUUUUCAGCUCCUCAGGUUGAAUGAGAGCUGCCUCUGAGACGUUUUCUGUCAGAAAAAAAAGUACCCAAAUGUACACAGGAAGGCUCAGGAGGAAAUAAGUGGGGGAAAGCAUCCUAGGAAAAGGAAUUCAGCAGCAGCAGCAAACCAGAGGUGGCCUAGGAGCCCACAAAGUCUAGCUGAAAACCACUGUGGAGUUUCUGGGACACUGGUAAGGGCCUCGCAGGUGUGCUCAGAAUAGUUCUGUCCUGUGCUGGAGACAUGUAGAUCUGAGCACAUGAAAAUGAUCACGCCAACAGGGUGAUGGAGGAAGAUUGGGUCUGGAAACAAGAGAUGAAGGAGAGAGCAGAUAGGUAGGGAGAUGCUUGUCUGAGAAAGAUGAGAGAAGGCAUUUAUAAUAAGGUGCUGUAAUAAAGGUAUUGGAUUUCAGACAACAACACAUGCUGUCAAUAAACCUGUGUGUUUUAGAGAGAAAAGGAAUGAAAAUUCAUUUUGAAGAUCCUAAAAAUGAAUAAAUCUUUUGGAGUAAAGCUGUAUUUAAUUUGGUUAUAAUCCACUGAAUUGAGAUAUAUUUCAACCUGACUGAAGACUCCCAAGUAUGGCUCAUAGAGGAAACCAGAUCACUUCUGGCAGAGGGAAGAAAAACUGUCUGUUAUAACUAAGUUCUC
This is a non-coding RNA of Cyanistes caeruleus (blue tit), 3523 nucleotides long. The record is from RefSeq and is a predicted model, not a curated record. NCBI's taxonomy places the organism in Eukaryota, Metazoa, Chordata, Aves, Passeriformes, Paridae.